This 114-nucleotide ribosomal RNA is filed under the name Danio rerio (zebrafish). Lineage: Eukaryota; Metazoa; Chordata; Actinopteri; Cypriniformes; Danionidae. The record is from RNAcentral.
UGCCACAGCCAUAUCACCCUGCAGCCCAAAACUGGUUACGCACUGAAGCUAAGCAAGGCUGAGCCUGGUCAGUACCUGGAUGGGAGACAUGGGAAAACCAGGUUGCUGUUGGAA